Non-coding RNA from Physcomitrium patens, 2714 nucleotides. Lineage: Eukaryota; Viridiplantae; Streptophyta; Bryopsida; Funariales; Funariaceae. The record is from RefSeq and is a predicted model, not a curated record.
UGGCCGCAGGGUCUGAAAUUGCAGAGGAUUGAAGACAGUGAAGCAUCUUAAUUCGAAGGCUUGAUUCAAUCCUGUUUGCAGGAUUCUACGACGCUUACGAUUCCCCUCACGGGAUUCCGGCCUCCCACUUGUGAAAAUUCAUCUCUUGGCGAGUGAUUUCAGCGCGAAAAGUGAAGUUUGAAAUCGGUCGUGACGGCAUUCAUGUAGAGAGGUAAAAUCGACUUGAAUUUGAUGUUUGGGGGAUUUGGGUUCGAUGUUUAAAUUUAGUCGUGACCGUUAGCCUCGUGAAUCAUGCUUGAGUACCAUAUUUUACGUCGAACCGAAAACCCCGUGCCUACAUGUUGCCGUGAAAUAUUUUGGCUAUGGCGAUUAUGGUAUGUCUCACUACCCUGGCCAUGGCCAUAGCUGGGCCCUCGCUGAUUGAUCUUUGGGCGUGAGGUCCUUGGCUUCGAUUCCUGUUUUUUCAUGUACAAUCGCAUACCACUUUGGUUUUUUCCAUGAUUCGAUUCGUGGUAUCACUGUCAUAUCACGAUUCCUGAUAACACUGUUAUUCUUAUUCUCCGAUUCGAUUCAUGAUAUGACAGUGAUAAUAUUUUUAUUACUGGGUACUGUUCAGAACGUGAGAUCAGUGGUUUCUUCAAACAGGACCGAUGCAGAUAGCUCCAUGAGUCUACGAUGAAAUCCUCUGACGAGUAAUGGGGUCGUGAGAUUCGGAGGCGCUCUGCUACUUCAAUGUGGAGGAACAUGUUUCCUCUUAAUGACACACGAAGUUAGGCAGGCGCAGAAGCUGUUAUUUCACAGCAGCCUUCACUGCAUGAGCGUUCUGGGGAGUGAUGGAGCAAAUCGGAAUAUAACUGGGUAUGAAGCUUUUGUGGGACUCCUUCCUGAGACUUGAUGCUUUUGUGGGCAUGCUUAAAUGUUCCGAGGAUCUGAUGAUUUUCCAUGACGUGGUCAACGAAGGCAGCACGACUAAUUGUAGUUUUACCUUUGCUCCAACUCAGAACUUUUUCCUUUUUUGCUUGAGCUGAUUCAAGCACCAGAUCUGAUCUUGCCCAUGGGUCCAAUUUUGAUUGAACCAAAAGAAUGGUUUACUUCCAGCUUGCAACCUCUUCUAUCCCUCGCAUGUUGUGCAGACUAGCCAAUCGUGGAAGUCGUGGAUUUGAUAUGUGUAGCCAUGAUGUUAUGCCUUCAAACUUGGAUACCUAAUAACACCAUUUUUACAACGGCAGUCAUUGGAACGGAAUACACUUCAUUCGUAGUGGAGCAGCAGUUGGAAGAUUUUGUGAGGGAGCAGGCAUCUCAUUAACGUCUUUAUUGUUGAAGAUGCUGCUUUCUGCAAAUCAUUUACCGUCGCUUUUCUUUUCUUCUCUCUCUCUCUCUCUCGAUUUGAUCAAGGGAUAACUGGGGUGCUUGCAUGAAAGGCUGGAAUUCAAGUUCCACCUGUCACGCUGGCUGGCAGGGGGCGGCACCACAAGUUCCUUGCAGAAGAAAACUCAUAGAAGACGAGGAGAGUAACUCACAAAGCCAGUUUUCUUCAUUAAUUUUACACAGGCCCUAGUUUUGGAAGUAGUAUCAUACCAAGGCUAGCUCAAGAAUUCCAUGGCACUGUAUUCUUCAGGAGCAUGGUCAUGAACUGAGGAGAUUCUCAAGGUGCGGAAAACAGCUUAAGUUCCUUCUUGAUUAUCAAUUAACAAUCAUAUUUACAACGACUAGAUUUAUGGCUCUUUUGAUGGGAAGAUCGAGACCUCUCAAACGUACCAGCGACGAUUUGCCAGAAUCUAAAACAACUUCUCUUCAGACAGGUCUUCGGUGCAGCAAUGGUCAACAAGGAUCGACUCAAGGGUUGUUGAGUACAGCAUGUCCCUGACAUCACCAACUCGCAUGGCAAAAUCCACAACAACAGGGUGCCGAUAAAUAAGCGGUGGAUCAGUCCUAGAACCACGAAUAUUACGAUAGCACUGCAACUCCGCUGCUUGAUAAGCGGCGACUGUUCAUGACCCAUGUGGUUUUUUGCACAUUGUUCAACGAAUCUGUGGUCGAAAGGCACGAAGUGUUGUGUCAGUGUCUUGCCUCAGUUACUGAAAGGCAACAACAAAAGGCGGCAUUGCUCAAGAGAGAGAGGUUAUUUCUGAGGAGCAAUAUCUGAGCUAAACUAGUUCCAGUAUGUGGGUGCCCAUUUUCUUAUGUACAGAGAGAGACAAUACGAUGCGGAACUCGACUCAACUGGAUCAACUCAACAUGGUCGCAACUCAGGAGUUGUUCAUGGGUCCAGAUUCUCCCGACGCACCCAAACUUGAGAGCAGAGGCUCUACUUCUUCUUCUUGUAGCUUCUUGUAGCUUAUUCAAGGUAUCAGAUCGGAAACGCUUUGAGGCAUAAUGAAGCACAUUUGCCAUUAUUUGUAGCACAUCAGACCUGUUAGAAUUUCGGUCAGAAGAUGAGCUUCUUCAUUUAAUCCGGUAGUACCCUUUAGAACCAUCUGGAUUCAUUCUGUUGAGCGUUCCCUAGAUCAUUCUUCUGCAGGAUUCCAGUCAUCUCGCACUCAAUAUUCAACUCUUUCGUGCAAGAUUUCUAGGACAAUAGGAAUUUCGAUGCUCUAUGGUGCAUCAUUAUAUAAACCACCGUACUUAAAAAUGUUGCUUGCUAAAAAAAUUAUUCUUUUUUCUUAUAUUUUAAACAAAGGGAUGUAUUCAUAUCCUAGCUGUGAAAUUUCCAA